RNAcentral lists this ribosomal RNA (264 nucleotides) under Triticum aestivum (bread wheat). Its description in RNAcentral is "partial small subunit ribosomal RNA". The record is from RNAcentral. Lineage: Eukaryota; Viridiplantae; Streptophyta; Magnoliopsida; Poales; Poaceae.
AUGGCGGCCAUCUGCGCCGUGCUGGUCAUCCUCCUGUCUGGCGUGGGGCAGCCGGCGAUGGCCUACGUCGACGGGCUAGCUUGCCCUAGCGCGGCCACGCCAUGCCGCGCAGACUGCUUUCCUGUGUGCAACGACAGUGCGCCGUUGGUGUGCAACAAGCUCUGCGGCCUAACGCCUUCAGGGCUCGGCGUCGUGGACAAGGCCUGCGUGGACCAUUUCUUCACAGCUUGCAUGGCCAUCUGCAAGAACAUGUGCGAGCCCUAG